RNAcentral lists this microRNA precursor (204 nucleotides) under Oryza rufipogon (brownbeard rice). RNAcentral describes it as "MIR812 microRNA precursor family". It matches the Rfam family "MIR812 microRNA precursor family". Lineage: Eukaryota; Viridiplantae; Streptophyta; Magnoliopsida; Poales; Poaceae. The record is from Rfam by way of RNAcentral.
AAUGUAUGACACCAUUGACUUUUUGAUCGACGUUUGACCAUUCGUCUUAUUAAAAAAAUUAUGUCAUUAUCAUUUAUUUUAUUAUGACUUGAUUUAUCAUCAAAUAUUCUUUAAGCAUGACAUAAAUAUUUUUAUAUUUACAUAAAAAUUUUGAAUAAAACGAAUGGUCAAACGUUGGUUAAAAAGUCGACGGCGUCAUACAUU